AGCCCCCUGCUCCUGUCUUCAACUUUGGCUGGUUAAAACAGGAUUCAGGGGGCCGACACUCUGGCUCUGCUGCCAGUAAGGAUCAUAGCAAGUGUUCAAUCUUAAUCAAGACUUUUCUAAUCCG
Molecule: regulatory RNA element, 124 nt
Organism: Candidatus Regiella insecticola 5.15
Lineage: Bacteria; Pseudomonadati; Pseudomonadota; Gammaproteobacteria; Enterobacterales; Enterobacteriaceae
Rfam family: Pseudoknot of the regulatory region of the repBA gene
Source: Rfam